This 337-nucleotide unclassified non-coding RNA is filed under the name soil metagenome. Its description in RNAcentral is "partial contains 5.8S ribosomal RNA, internal transcribed spacer 2, and large subunit ribosomal RNA". The stretch from base 1 to 120 matches the Rfam family "5.8S ribosomal RNA", at positions 35 to 154 of the family's 154-position model. The record is from RNAcentral.
GAUGAAGAACGUAGCGAAAUGCGAUAAGUAAUGUGAAUUGCAGAAUUCAGUGAAUCAUCGAAUCUUUGAACGCACAUUGCGCCCGCCAGUAUUCUGGCGGGCAUGCCUGUUCGAGCGUCAUUUCAACCAUCAAGCCCCCGGGCUUGUGUUGGGGACCUGCGGCUGCCGCAGGCCCUGAAAAGCAGUGGCGGGCUCGCUGUCACACCGAGCGUAGUAGAUUUUAUCUCGCUCUGGGCGUGCUGCGGGUUCCGGCCGUUAAACCACCCUUUUAACCCAAGGUUGACCUCGGAUCAGGUAGGAAGGCCCGCUGAACUUAAGCAUAUCAAUAAGCGGAGGA